Molecule: ribosomal RNA, 460 nt
Filed under: uncultured bacterium
Lineage: Bacteria
Description: partial 16S ribosomal RNA
Rfam family: Bacterial small subunit ribosomal RNA
Source: RNAcentral
CCUACGGGAGGCAGCAGUGAGGAAUAUUGGUCAAUGGGCGCGAGCCUGAACCAGCCAAGUAGCGUGAAGGAUGACUGCCCUACGGGUUGUAAACUUCUUUUAUAAAGGAAUAAAGUGAGGCACGUGUGCCUUUUUGUCUGUACUUUAUGAAUAAGGAAAGGCUAACUCCGUUCCAGCGGCCGCGGUAAUACGGAGGAUACGAGCGUUGUCCGGAUUGAUUGGGUUUAAAGGGAGCGUAGAUGGGUUGUUAAGUUAGUUGUGAAAUUUUGCGGCUCAACCGUAAAAUGGCAAUGGAUACUGGCAGUCUUGAGUGCAGAUGAGGUAGGUGGAAUUCGUGGUGUAGCGGUGAAAUGCUUAGAUAUAACGAAGAACUCCGAUUGCGAAGGCAGCUUACUAAACUGCCACUGACAUUGAUGCUCGAAAGUGUGGGUAUCAAACAGGAUUAGAUACCCUAGUAGUC